GUAACACGUGGGUGAUCUGCCCUGCACUUCGGGAUAAGCCUGGGAAACUGGGUCUAAUACCGGAUAUGACUACGGGAUGCAUGUCUUGUGGUGGAAAGAUUUAUCGGUGCAGGAUGGGCCCGCGGCCUAUCAGCUUGUUGGUGGGGUAAUGGCCUACCAAGGCGACGACGGGUAGCCGACCUGAGAGGGUGACCGGCCACACUGGGACUGAGACACGGCCCAGACUCCUACGGGAGGCAGCAGUGGGGAAUAUUGCACAAUGGGCGGAAGCCUGAUGCAGCGACGCCGCGUGAGGGAUGACGGCCUUCGGGUUGUAAACCUCUUUCGACAGGGACGAAGCGGAAGUGACGGUACCUGUAGAAGAAGCACCGGCCAACUACGUGCCAGCAGCCGCGGUAAUACGUAGGGUGCGAGCGUUGUCCGGAAUUACUGGGCGUAAAGAGCUUGUAGGCGGUUCGUCGCGUCGUUCGUGAAAACCUACCGCUCAACGGUGGGCUUGCGGUCGAUACGGGCGGACUAGAGUACUUCAGGGGAGACUGGAAUUCCUGGUGUAGCGGUGAAAUGCGCAGAUAUCAGGAGGAACACCGGUGGCGAAGGCGGGUCUCUGGGAAGUAACUGACGCUGAGAAGCGAAAGCGUGGGUAGCGAACAGGAUUAGAUACCCUGGUAGUCCACGCCGU
Molecule: ribosomal RNA, 679 nt
Filed under: Nocardia sp.
Lineage: Bacteria; Bacillati; Actinomycetota; Actinomycetes; Mycobacteriales; Nocardiaceae
Description: bacterial SSU rRNA
Rfam family: Bacterial small subunit ribosomal RNA
Source: RNAcentral